GGGCAACUUCACCGGUGGUCUAUUUUUUGUUCCAAAUAUAUUCCAAAAAUGGACCUGUCAAAAUUAAUUAGACCAGUGAAAAUAGACCAAAUCGCCUGCGUGCGCACCGGUUGUUCUAUUUAUUUAGUUUUCGCGAUCCAUUUGAAAUGUAAACAACGAAAACAAUCAAAAUUAGUAAAUUUUGUGUUUUAACGCGGAAUUGUGAAAUAAUUUUCGAAAAAUAUAGUGCUUCAGACCUUUAUCACGUUUUGUGGACCCGGGAAAAGCUUAAUUCAUCCGGUGCUAGGCUCACAACAUGUCUUCCCAGAAGUUGGCCUUCCAGUAGACGUAAUAUUUUGGCGAGAAGGAUGUCAUUCUCAAGGUGCUGGAGAAACACGGCGGGAUUUGCGAUUGCCACCGCUAGGUCGUCACGUUCGUAUAUGUUGCCAGCGCUUAUAGCCAUGAACUGGAAUCAAUAUCACGGAUACUGCCGAUGUCGUGAUGUGGCCGGAAUUGGUCAUCCAGGAAGUGGACAUGUCAAGCGGUAAAAAUCGAGCUGUAAUAGGUGGGAAGGCGCCCGGAGCAGGAAUCGAUUCCAAUUGACAUGAUCCAUGAGACAACAUUUGGGACUGCCGAAGUUUCGGUGCAAAUGAAAAAAAAAUAUUUCGUGGAAGAAUCCGACACAUGGGAAAUGGAAAAGGUGGCUGCCAAAGAACCGAGUGGAGUAGACACUAUGAUCGCUCAGUUUCCAACGUUGGCCCAUAUUGAGGGAUGCUCCCACCACGUUGUUUCAUCGAUUUCGUUAGCUUGGUUACCUCGAAUGAAGUCUAGAACAGACCUAAUUUUAGCGACUACAAUAAAAUAGAUUCUGAAGUCGAACUUUUCUAUCAUGGAUCGGUAUGAUGAAAUAGUUGACAGUGCAAUAGCAUUCUCUCCUUUCCUAAUGGACAAUGAAGACGAUGACGUGAUGAUCAAUUUACUGAUGGAAAAUUCAGAAAACUCACCUGUACGGCGCGGGUCACGGCCAGGAAGGCGUCCAAACAUCGAUCGUAACUUUAAAUUAGGACAUCGCCUGUUAUUUGAUGACUACUUUCGCGAAAAUCCAACGUACGAUGAGAAACACUUUAUUCGACGAUUCCGCAUGACGAAAGUUAUGUUUUUA
Molecule: long non-coding RNA, 1141 nt
Organism: Aedes aegypti (yellow fever mosquito)
Lineage: Eukaryota; Metazoa; Arthropoda; Insecta; Diptera; Culicidae
Exons: 4
Source: RefSeq, a predicted model, not a curated record